CCCCUAGAUGUUCUGGGCCGCACGCGCGCUACACUGAACAGUUCAACAAGUCUUAACCUUGGCCGAUAGGUCUGGGUAAUCUUUGAACGCUGUUCGUGAUUGGGAUAGACCUUUGCAAUUAUGGGUCUUCAACGAGGAAUUCCUAGUAAACGCAAGUCAUCAGCUUGCAUUGAUUACGUCCCUGCCCUUUGUACACACCGCCCGUCGCACCUACCGAUUGAAUGGUCCGGUGAAAUCUCGGGACGGCGGCUUGGUCGCUUGCGUCCGACUGCUGAAACUUGAUUAAACCAUAUCAUCUAGAGGAAGGUGAAGUCGUANCA
RNAcentral lists this ribosomal RNA (320 nucleotides) under uncultured eukaryote. Its description in RNAcentral is "partial 18S ribosomal RNA". It matches the Rfam family "Eukaryotic small subunit ribosomal RNA", at positions 1470 to 1796 of the family's 1831-position model. The record is from RNAcentral.